UUAUUAUUUCCUCCAUCCCAAAAUUCUUGUCUUAGAUUUGUUUAGAUAUGAAUGUAUCUAGUCAUGUUUUAGUAUUUUGAUUCAUUCGUUUCUGGACAAACCUAAGACAAAAUUUUGAAACGGAGGAAGUACUUG
RNAcentral lists this microRNA precursor (135 nucleotides) under Hordeum vulgare. RNAcentral describes it as "microRNA MIR1122". It matches the Rfam family "MIR1120/MIR1122 microRNA precursor family". The record is from RNAcentral. Lineage: Eukaryota; Viridiplantae; Streptophyta; Magnoliopsida; Poales; Poaceae.